This 450-nucleotide unclassified non-coding RNA is filed under the name Zea mays. Its description in RNAcentral is "misc RNA Zm00001eb437840". Lineage: Eukaryota; Viridiplantae; Streptophyta; Magnoliopsida; Poales; Poaceae. The record is from RNAcentral.
AUGCUCGAGCUGCUCGCGCGGCGAGAGCGGGCCGCCGCGUGCCGGCCGGGGGACGGACCGGGAACGGCCCCCUCGGGGCCUUCCCCGGGCGUCGAACAACCGACUCAGAACUGAAUCCAAGCUAGCAACCGGCGCCUCUGCUCGCCGCCCGCCCCGACCCACGUUAGGGCGUUCGCGCCCCAAGGGCCCGUGCCAUUGGCUCAGCCCGCCCGGCCGACGCGCCGCGGCGGGCCGCCUCGAAGCUCCCUUCCCAACGGGCGGCGUGCUGAAUCCUUUGCAGACGACUUAAAACGCGACGGGGCAUUGCAGAACUCCCCGAAGUCCUGGGAGGGGGUCUCCUCGGCCGAGCCCCGCACCCCCUCGCGGCCUAGCCGUGGCCGGUCGGCACCCUACCGCGCCCAGCUCCGGCUGGCGCUGUUGGCUGCCUGGCCGGCCGUGGUUCGGCCGUGA